CGAUGUGAGGGCGAUCUGGCUGCGACAUCUGUCACCCCAUUGAUCGCCGGGGUUGGUUCGGCUGAUCUGGCUGGCUAGGCGGGGGUCCCCUUCCUCCCUCGCCGCUCCAUGUGCGUCCCUCCCGAAGCUGCGCGCUCGGUCGAAGAGGACUGCCUUCCCCGAAUAGAGAAGGACCGGUCUUCGGGUAUAAGAGGGUAUACGAGUAGCUGCGCUCCCCUGCUAGAACCUCCAAACAAGCUCUCAAUCCCCAGCACCACCAUAAACCAGAGCUGUGCAGUGCUCUUGUAAUAAAAGAAAAAAAAUCGGGCUGGGUGGUGGUUCAUCUAAUUGAGCACACAUGUU
RNAcentral lists this small nuclear RNA (342 nucleotides) under Erinaceus europaeus (western European hedgehog). Its description in RNAcentral is "7SK RNA". It matches the Rfam family "7SK RNA", at positions 1 to 294 of the family's 331-position model. From Rfam's summary of the family: 7SK was discovered as an abundant small nuclear RNA in the mid-70s but a possible function has only recently been suggested. Two independent studies have found that 7SK RNA binds the CDK9/cyclin T complex (known as elongation factor P-TEFb). Lineage: Eukaryota; Metazoa; Chordata; Mammalia; Eulipotyphla; Erinaceidae. The record is from Rfam by way of RNAcentral.